AUAAAUCAGCAUCAGUACACCUUGACGAGCAAAAGCAGGCCAUUUGUCACCAGUUGUAGCUGCCCGCGUGUGUACCACUUUUGUAAGCGUUAUCAUUUUCUGGGACCUUUAUCGUCCAUGAACUCCAAUGCACGGCUUAAUCUGGUCCCAUUCGUUUAUCAUUAUUGAUAAUAAAGAGAGCAAUCCUCGCCCCCCACGGUCCAAUCUUCCCAGAUAAUGCAAUUGAGAUGGAGGAGAGUGAGGUAUAAUCGGAAGGGAGGGUGUGAGUGAGAGACGCGAGAUUUUCAAGUGGCAGAGAAGGAAGGUUUCAGACGCUCGCCAGCGUUGCACCACCAAAACUUGCAAAAGUUCUGAUGGUGCCACGCUGUGUGCGUCUAAAAUCUCUUAACUCCUUGGUUUUCUUCAUAUAAUUAAUGCCGAUUGAAGGGAUAUAUUCAAGCAUCCAAACCUGGAUUGGAAGAAAAUUGGUGAAGAGCUGAGAUACGUUAGCUUUUUCAUUUUCUUUUUCUUUUUUAAGAAAUUUAAAUCCCCGCCAUGUAAUCUUUAUAAUCGCACGAUGGUUUCUUGUUUUGUUCAAUUACCUGCUUCCUUCUUUUGAACAUUUUCUCUUUGCAUUGUUCUUCUUCUUAUUUCAUGCAUUUCCAGUUGAAGGACACUGGAGUGAAGCCAAUAACUAUAGUACUGUUUAUCAUUGCUAUUUGUUUUUUUUUCUUCCAAACUUCAUCCUAAUUCUCCAGCUUAUUUAAAUCUUGGUUAUGGUAAUUGGAAUAGUUAUAGCAUUGUUCAUCUGCUUGUCAUUGUUAUAGUUCUUUGCAUUCUAUCGUCCUUGUUCUUUUAUGCAUGUAUCAAGUAAUUAAUUUGACUCUAGUCUCGGGUUUCAAUUUUGGCAGAACAAAUUAUAUGAACAUGAGUAAUUUUUUAGCCAAACCACCCUCCCUUUGACGCCCCAAUUCAAUCUGUGAAGUAACAUUUGUUAUCUAGUUCUUUUUCGUUAUGAAUUGUUACAUUACAUGACUAGUUCUACAUGAUCUAAAACAG
This 1038-nucleotide long non-coding RNA is filed under the name Populus trichocarpa (black cottonwood). Its description in RNAcentral is "long non-coding RNA (PTRI_LNC000058)". The record is from RNAcentral. Lineage: Eukaryota; Viridiplantae; Streptophyta; Magnoliopsida; Malpighiales; Salicaceae.